This 5520-nucleotide long non-coding RNA is filed under the name Sus scrofa (pig). RNAcentral's name for it is "lncRNA (ENSSSCG00000056724.1)". Lineage: Eukaryota; Metazoa; Chordata; Mammalia; Artiodactyla; Suidae. The record is from RNAcentral.
AAGAUAAAUUGGACUCCCUUAAAAAUUGUAUACUUCUGUAUAUCAAAGGACACUAUCAAAGUGAAAAAACAACUUAAGAAUAGGAGAAGAUAUUUGCAAAUCACAUUUCUGGUAAGGGUCUAGUAUCCAGCAUAUAUAAAGAACCCAUAACACUCAAUGAAAGAUAAGUAACCCAAUUUAAAAAUGGGCAAAAUAUUUGAAUAAAUAUUUCUCAAAAAAAUGUACACAUGCCAGCAAGCAUAUGAAAAAUGUUCAACAUCAUUAUUUAUUAGAGGAAUGCAAAUCAAAACCACAAUAAGACACCACCUCACUCUCACUAGGAUAGCUAUAAUUUUUUAAAAUGGGAACUAAGUAUUUGUAAAGAUUUGGAGAAUCUGGAGCAUUGUACAUUGCUGGUGGGAUUGUAAAAUGAUGCAGCUUCUUUGGAAAGCACUUUGGUUAUUCUCACAAAAUUAAACAUAAAAUUACCAUAUGACCCAGCAAUUUCAUUCCUAGAUACAUACCCAAGGUAAUUUUUUAAAUGUUUUUUAUUAAUGUAUGUGGAUUUACAAUGUGUCAAUUUCUGCAGUAUAGCAAAGUGACAUAUAUAUAUAUAUAUAUAUAUUCCUUUUCUUACAUUAUCUCCCAUCAUGUUUUAUCACAUUUGAUAUAAUUCCCUGUGUUAUAUACAGUAGGACUUUAUUCCUUAUCCAUUCUAAAUGUAAUAGCUUGCAUUCUACCAACCCCAAACUCCCUGUCCAUCUCACUCCCUCCCCCUUGGCAACCACAAAUCUGUUCUCCAUGUUUGUGAGUUUGUUUCUGUUCUGUUGAUAGAUUCAUUUGCGCCCUAUCUUCCCUUCCAUGUAUAAGUGACAUCAUAAGGUAUUUGUCUUUCUCUUUCUGACUUAUUUCACUUAGUAUAAGACUCUAGUUAUAUUCAUGUUGCUGCAAAUGGCAUUAUUUUGUUCUUUUUGUGUCUGAGUAGUAAGUAUUCCAUUGUGUAUAUGUACCACAUCUUAAUCCAUUCAUCUGUCAGUGGACAUUUAGGUUGUUUCAGUGUCUUUGCUAUUGUGAAGAGGGCUGCUAUAAACAUAUGGGCACAUGUGCCUUUUUGUUUGUUUGUUUUACAUUGUUUUGUCUUUAUAGGGCCACACUCAUGGCAAAUGGAAGAUCCCAGGCUAGGAGUUGAAUCAGAGCUGCAUCUGCUGGCCUAUAGCAAGCCAUAGCAAGGCCAGAAUCCCAGCCAUGUCUGUGAUCUAUAGCACAGCUCAUGGCAAUGCUGGAUCCUUAACCCACUGAAUGAGGCCAGGGAUUGAACCCACAUCCUCAUGCAUAUUAGUCAGGUUCGUUACCACUGAGCAACAACAGGAACUCUGCAUGUGUCUUUUUGAAUUAUAGUUUUGUCCUAAUAUAUGCCCAGGAGUGGGAUUGCUGGAUCAUAUGGUAGUUUAGUUUUCUGAGGAACCUCCAUACUGUUUUCCAUAGUGGUUGUACCAAUUUACAUUCCCAUCAACAAUUUACAUUCCCUCUAAAAGAGGGCUCCCUUUUCUCCACACUCUGUCCAGCAUUUGUUAUUUGUAAACUUAUUAGUGAUAGCCAUUCUGACUGGUGUGAGGUGGUACCUCACUGUAGUUGUGAUUUACAUUUCUCUAAUAAUUGGUGAUGCUGAACAUUCUUUCAUGUGCCGUCUGGCCAUCCAUAUGUCUUCUGUGGAGAAAUGUCUAUUCAGGUCUUCUGCCCAUUUUUCAAUUGGGUUUUUUGUUGUUGUUGUAUGAGUUGUUUGUAUAUUUUGCCCUUGCAUCAUUUGCAACUAUUUUCAAUUGCAUCAUUUGCAACUAUUUUCUCCCAUUCCAUAGGUUGUCUUUUUUUUUUUUUUUUUAUGGUUUCCUUUGCUGUGCAAAAGCUCAUAGGUUUGAUUAGGUCUCAUUGGUUUAUUUUUGUUUUUAUUUCUACUACCUUGGGAGACUGACCUAAGAAAAUAUUUUUAUGGUUGAUGUCAGAGAAUGUUUUGCCUGUGUUCUAGGAGUUUGAUGGUGUCUUGUCUUACAUUUAAGUCUUUAAGCCAUUUUGAGUUAAUUUUGUGCAUGGUGUGAGGAUGUGUUCUACUUUCAUUGAUUUACAUGCAGCAGUCCAGUUUUGCCAGUAAUACUUGCUUGAAGAGACUCUCUUUUUCCCAUUUUAUAUUCUUGCCUCCUUGUUGAAGAUUAACUGACCAUAGGUGCCUGGGUUUAUUUCUGGGCUCUCUAUUCUGUUCCAUUGGUCUGUAUGUCUGUUUUUGUACCACUACCACACUAUCUUGAUGACUGUAACUUUGUAAAAUUGUCUGAAGUCUGGAAGAAUUAUGCCUCCUGCUUGUUUUACUUCCCUCAGGGUUGCUUUGGCAAUUCUGAGUCAUUUAUGAUUCUAUACAAUUUUUAGAUUGUUUGUUCUAGUUCUGUGAAAAAUUUCAUAGGUAAUUUGAUAGGGAUAGCAUUAUAUCUCUAUAUUGCUUUGGGUAGUAUGGCCAUUUUAAUGAUACUAAUUCUUUCAAUCCAGGAGCAUGGGUUGUCUUUCCGUUUCUUUAAAUCCUCUCUAAUGUCCUUGAUUAUUGUUUUAUUGUUCUCAGCAUAUAAGUCCUUCACCUCCUUAGGUUUACUCCUGGGUAUUUAAUUUUUUUGGUGUGAUACCAAAAUAAUUAAAAACAGAUAUUCAAACAAAUAUUUGUACGUGAACAAUGGGUGAAUGAAUUAAAAAAAUGUGAUAUAUCUACAUCAUGGAAUAUUAUUCAGCCAUAAAAAGGAAUAUGGUACUUUCUUUCUUUCUUUUUUUUUUUUUUUUUUUUUGUUUUUUAGGGCUGCUCUUGCAGCAUAUGGAGGUUCCCAGGCUAGGGGUCAAAUCAGAGCCGUAGCUGCUGGCCACAGCCACAGCCACAGCAAUGCUGGAACAAAGCCGCAUCUGCAACCUACACCACAGCUCACAGCAAUGCAGGAUCCUUAACCCACUGAACAAGGCCAGGGAUCGAACCUGUAUCCUCAUGGAUGGUACUCAGAUUUGUUUCUGCUAAGCCAUGAUGGGAACUCCAGAAUGUGGUGCUUCUAUAUACUACAAUGUAGAUGAAUCUUGAAAACAUUUUUCUAAGUGAAAGAAGCCCAAAAUAAAACGUUACAUAUUGUAUGAUUCCAUUUAUACAAAUAUACAGAAUACUUAAAUCUAAAGCAGAUUGAGGUGUGGCAGGAACAGGGAGGAAAAGAGAAAGAGGGGUUGACUGCUUAAUGGGUAUGAUAUCUCCCUUGUGAGUGAAAAAAUACUUUGGAACUAGAUAGAGGUGGUGGUUGUACAACAUUGUGAACAUACUAAAUGCCACUGAAUUAUAUAUUCUUAGAUGGUUAAUUUCAUGUUAUAUGAAUUUUACUUAAAAAAACAUCAGCCACAAAAAGCAGUAGCCAACAAUUAUACAAUAAUUUUAGGUAUCAAGCUCUGUUCUAAAUUCUUUACUUAUAUUAACUCAAUUCUCAUAACAAACAUAUUACUUAUAUAUGUACAUUAUCAACAAACACAUACUUAUUAACAAACAUAUGUGAUUAUCCCUGUUUUACAGAUGAGGAAAUUGAGGAACAAAGAGGACAAAUGACUUGCCCAAAGUUAUUCAGUUAAUGGCAGAGGUUGGAAUUUAAAUCCAGGUAAUGAAAUUCCAGAUUCUUACCUCUUAACCAUUAUUCCAGAAAUAAAAGAAGUGUCAAAUAUGAAUAAAGAGCAAGAGAUUAUAAAAACAACAAAUCGGGAGUUGGCCUAGCAGUUAAGGAUCCGGCAUUAUCACUGCUGUGUCAUGGGUUUGAUCCCUGGCCCAGGAACUUCCAUGUGUCAUGGGCACAAACAAAAAAAGAAAAACUGAAAAUGACAAAUAAGAUUUGAAAUAUAAUCAAAAACAGUACUUCCAGAAAUUAAAAAAAAAAAAAGAAUAACUGAAUUUUAAACUCGGAAGACACAACGUAGAGUACUAACCACUAUAUGAUCACAGCCAGGUUUAAUAGCCCAGCAAAUACGACUGAAUGAAGAAUUAGAGCAGUGGAAGCUAUGAAGAAGUUCUGAAUGUAGUACAGAGAGACGUAAAGCAUCUAAGACACAUACCCAUGUGAGUCAGUCUAAAACAUAUAUAAAGGGAACGAAUUCAAUUUAUUGCCUCUAGGCUCUAAAUGUACCUUUCGAUUAAUCUAUUCUCUGUGAUAAACAACUGAAUUUCUUUAAGAUUUCCCUUUAAAAUGAACGCAAUGUUAGGCUUUCUCAGUAGAGGGCAUUGGAGGGAUAUUGCAGGAAGAAAGAGGUUCUCCAGCUGUUCCUGGUGUGGCCUAGGGCUUGUGGAUGGUGUGGCUAUGAAGACAUCUAAUAAAUUUCCACAAGCCUGGAACACAAUUCAUCUGUGACCUUGCAGCCUUGGUCAGGCGAUAAUCUUUUUGCAGCCCCUUUGACAUGGAAACCAAAUUUCCUACAUGGCCUGCACACAGCUUCUUGUGGCCUGGAGGGUUACACAUCUGAACAGCCUAUGUGCAGCUCAUCUGUAGUCCAGAGGUCCACACAGGACUGCCAGUUCCUCUGCAAAUAAGACAGAUUUCCUGCACAAAAACAAAAGGUCGAUUGACUGAAGAGCAGGAAUGAAAACUUUCUCAACAACAGAGGAAAGAAGAUAGUGGAAUAUUAACUUCAAUACACUGAGAAGAAAUAGCUAUAAUUCUAUACUAAGGAAAAUAUCUUUCAAGAAUAAGGAUGAAUGACAUGAACAACUUUGAAAAACAUGAUAUUGAACAAAAGAAGUAAAAAAAAAACCAUAGUGCGUGAUUCUAUGAUUCUAUUUGCAUGACAUCCAAGAAGAGACAAAAUUACACUAUGAUGCUAGAAACCAGAACAGUGAUUACCUGGAAUGGAAGCAAUCUGAUUAUAGAGAAGCACACAAGGGAAGUUUCUAGGAUGAAAUGUUCUCUGUCUUAACAGGGGUAUGAUUACACAAGUAUGUAUUUGCCAAAACUCACUGAACUGUGCACUCUGAUGGUUGAUUUUAUGUAUUAACUUGACUGGGCCAAAGGAUGCUCAGAUAACUGUUGAAACAUUAUUUCUGGGUGUGUUGGUGAGGGUCUUUUCAAAGGAGAUCAGCAUUUGAAUCUGUAAACUAAGUGAAUCAAAUUGUCCUCUCUAAUGUGAGUCAGCAGCAUCACCCAAUCCAUUGAAGGCCUAAAAAAGAACAAAAAUGCAAAGGAAGAAAUAAUUUGCUCUCUGCCUCAUUACACAAAUUUGAACUUGGGUGUUCUUUCAAAGCUGUUUGAUAUACAAGCAUCCUUUAAAAGAUAAUCUGGAACAAAAGAAUCCAGUGCCUUUGCUCACAAGAUGUUCAGAAAUAUCAGAGAAUUGUCUCCCAAUAUUUCAGAAUAAAUUGGGUAUAUGAAUUUCUUUACUGCAAAAUUUAUGAAACUGAAUACAUAUCAAAAGGUAUCAUGCAAAUUGAGAUUGAACUAAGUACAAAAUUUGCAAUAGAUUUUGAAGAUUUAGUAUGAAAAAAAGAAUGUAAAAAUC